Molecule: ribosomal RNA, 467 nt
Filed under: uncultured bacterium
Lineage: Bacteria
Description: partial 16S ribosomal RNA
Rfam family: Bacterial small subunit ribosomal RNA
Source: RNAcentral
ACGAACGCUUGCGGCGUGCUUAACCCAUGCAAGUCGAACGGAAAGGCCCUGCUUUUGUGGGGUGCUCGAGUGGCGAACGGGUGAGUAACACGUGAGUAACCUGCCCUUGACUUUGGGAUAACUUCAGGAAACUGGGGCUAAUACCGGAUAGGAGCUCCUGCUGCAUGGUGGGGGUUGGAAAGUUUCGGCGGUUGGGGAUGGACUCGCGGCUUAUCAGCUUGUUGGUGGGGUAGUGGCUUACCAAGGCUUUGACGGGUAGCCGGCCUGAGAGGGUGACCGGCCACAUUGGGACUGAGAUACGGCCCAGACUCCUACGGGAGGCAGCAGUGGGGAAUAUUGCACAAUGGGCGGAAGCCUGAUGCAGCAACGCCGCGUGCGGGAUGACGGCCUUCGGGUUGUAAACCGCUUUCGCUUGUGACGAAGCGUGAGUGACGGUAAUGGGUAAAGAAGCACCGGCUAACUACGUG